Molecule: ribosomal RNA, 447 nt
Filed under: uncultured bacterium
Lineage: Bacteria
Description: bacterial SSU rRNA
Rfam family: Bacterial small subunit ribosomal RNA
Source: RNAcentral
CCAGACUCCUACGGGAGGCAGCAGUGGGGGAUAUUGCACAAUGGGGGGAACCCUGAUGCAGCGACGCCGCGUGGGUGAAGGAGUAUUUCGGUAUGUAAAGCCCUAUCGGCAGGGAAGAAGCAAGACGGUACCUGACUAAGAAGCCCCGGCUAACUACGUGCCAGCAGCCGCGGUAAUACGUAGGGGGCGAGCGUUAUCCGGAUUCACUGGGUGUAAAGGGAGCGUAGACGGCCAAGCAAGCCAGGGGUGAAAGCCCGGGGCUCAACCGCGGGACUGCUUUUGAAACUGUGUAGCUAGAGUGCAGGAGAGGUAAGUGGAAUUCCUAGUGUAGCGGUGAAAUGCGUAGAUAUUAGGAGGAACACCGGUGGCGAAGGCGGCUUACUGGACUGUAACUGACGUUGAGGCUCGAAAGCGUGGGGAGCAAACAGGAUUAGAUACCCUGGUAAU